Molecule: ribosomal RNA, 276 nt
Filed under: Aeromonas dhakensis
Lineage: Bacteria; Pseudomonadati; Pseudomonadota; Gammaproteobacteria; Aeromonadales; Aeromonadaceae
Description: partial 16S ribosomal RNA
Rfam family: Bacterial small subunit ribosomal RNA
Source: RNAcentral
GGUGGGGAUGACGUCAAGUCAUCAUGGCCCUUACGGCCAGGGCUACACACGUGCUACAAUGGCGCGUACAGAGGGCUGCAAGCUAGCGAUAGUGAGCGAAUCCCAAAAAGCGCGUCGUAGUCCGGAUCGGAGUCUGCAACUCGACUCCGUGAAGUCGGAAUCGCUAGUAAUCGCAAAUCAGAAUGUUGCGGUGAAUACGUUCCCGGGCCUUGUACACACCGCCCGUCACACCAUGGGAGUGGGUUGCACCAGAAGUAGAUAGCUUAACCUUCGGGA